UGGAUUCAUAUUUCAUCCAUUUUGGAGUUCAAAUCAUAUUACCUUUGGUUCAAACCAUAACUUUAUCACAACUUCUUUCAUCUCCCAUCACUAGUUCUAUGAACUACGGAGCUAUGAAUUCCUUAUUGCACUAUAAGGAUACAUAGGCAUGAGGGCCCCAAUCCUCACCGAGCACUUUAUCUAUUUCUUUUCUUUUCCCUUAUUAUU
RNAcentral lists this long non-coding RNA (207 nucleotides) under Lathyrus oleraceus (garden pea). Its description in RNAcentral is "Pisum sativum (pea) long non-coding RNA (PSAT_LNC037875)". Lineage: Eukaryota; Viridiplantae; Streptophyta; Magnoliopsida; Fabales; Fabaceae. The record is from RNAcentral.